CUACGGGACGCUGCAGGCGAGAAAACUUUGCAAUGUGCGAAAGCACGACAAGGUUAAUCCGAGUGGUUUCUGCUAAAGGAACCUUUUGUCGGUCCUAGAAACACCGAUGAAUAAGGGGUGGGCAAGUUCUGGUGUCAGGCGCCGCGGUAAAACCAGCACCUCAAGUUGUCAGGAUGAUUAUUGGGCCUAAAGCAUCCGUAGCCGGCUCUGUUAGUUUUCGGUUAAAUCUGUAUGCUCAACAUACAGGCUGCCGGGAAUACUGCAGAGCUAGGGAGUGGGAGAGGUAGACGGUACUCGGUAGGAAGGGGUAAAAUCCUUUGAUCUAUUGAUGACCACCUGUGGCGAAGGCGGUCUACCAGAACACGUCCGACGGUGAGGGAUGAAAGCUGGGGGAGCAAACCGGAUUAGAUACCCUAGUAGUC
RNAcentral lists this ribosomal RNA (422 nucleotides) under uncultured archaeon. RNAcentral's name for it is "partial 16S ribosomal RNA". It matches the Rfam family "Archaeal small subunit ribosomal RNA", at positions 323 to 746 of the family's 1478-position model. The record is from RNAcentral.